This 89-nucleotide small nucleolar RNA is filed under the name Ipomoea nil (Japanese morning glory). RNAcentral's name for it is "Small nucleolar RNA snoR109". It matches the Rfam family "Small nucleolar RNA snoR109". Lineage: Eukaryota; Viridiplantae; Streptophyta; Magnoliopsida; Solanales; Convolvulaceae. The record is from Rfam by way of RNAcentral.
UGGCUGUAGCUAAAUUCAUUUGAUUGGGAAGUUUACUGGCUGGUUGUUAUCUCCUGUUGACAAAUCUGCUUACCGAACUUCACACACUU